AGCAGGCGCUCUCCUGGGUUGGACGGCAUCAAUGGCACUAUCUGCAAGGCAGUCUGGCGCGCCAUACCUGAGCACCUAGCAUCAUUGUUUUUCAGAAGCAUCCGAUUGGGAUACUUUCCAGCCGAGUGGAAGUGCCCACGAGUCGUCUCGCUGCUCAAAGGGCCAGAUAAGGACAAGUGUGGGCCUCCUCAUAUAGAGGAAUAUGCUUGCUACCAGUCUUUGGUAAGGUGCUCGAGGCCAUCAUGGUGAAUCGUGUGAGAGAAGUUCUUCCGGAAGGCUACAGAUGGCAAUUAGGAUUUCGCCAAGGACGAUGUGUGGAGGAUGCUUGGAGGCACGUGAAGAGCAGUGUUGGCGCCUGCCCGGCGCAAUACGUGCUCGGCACAUUCGUGGACUUCAAAGGAGCAUUCGACAACAUCGAAUGGAGUGCUGCACUCUGCCGACUAGCCGACUUGGGAUGCCGGGAAAUGGGCUUGUAGCAGAGCUUUUUCUCCGGCCGAAGAGCAGUGAUCCGAAGCAGUUCCGGUACUGUGGAUGUACCGGUAACUAGAGGCUGCCCGCAGGGAUCAAUCAGCGGCCCAUUUAUCUGGGACAUACUGAUGGAUGUACUGCUUCAGCGUCUCCAGCCGUAUUGCCAGCUGAGUGCAUACGCGGAUGACUUGCUGCUUCUCGUCGAGGGAAAUUCCCGAGCUGUGCUAGAGGAAAAAGGAGCGCAACUAAUGUCCAUCGUAGAAACGUGGGGAGCGGAAGUUGGCGUUGCCGUCUCGACCAGCAAGACGGUAAUCAUGCUGCUGAAAGGUGCCUUGAGACGUGCGCCUACGGUGAGGUUUGCUGGAGCGAACCUUCCGUAUAUGCGUAGCUGUCGGUACCUUGGCAUCCAUCGGUGAGGAAUGAAAUUCCUCACGCACAUACCUUCGCUUCGCCAGCGGAUGACCAUAGUCGUUGGAGCAUUGGCGCGUGUGCUUCGAGCCGAAUGGGGCUUCAGUCCUCGAGCCAGGCGGACCAUAUAUGACGGACUCAUGGCACCUUGUGUGCUGUUUGGUGCCCCGGUAUGGUAUGACACCGCGGAACAAGUAGCUUCCCAGAGGCGACUAGCCUCCUGCCAGAGGCUAAUCCUGCUUGGAUGCCUUUCGGUACGCCGAACAGUGUCCACAGUGGCACUGCAGGUACUUGGUGGAGCUCCCCCGCUUGAUCUGGCUGCGAAGUUAUUAGCGGUCAAAUACAAGCUAAAACGUGGAUUCCCGCUGGAGGAGAACGACUGGCUUUACGGCGAGGACAUUGCGUGUCUAAGCUGGGAGCAGAGGAAGACUCGCCUAGAGGAGUGUUUAAUCCAGAGUUGGCAGAACAGAUGGGACGACGACAGCGAACCAGGACGGGUGACGCAUAGGUUUAUCCCAAACGUCACUCUUGCCUAUCGGGAUUCAAGUUUUGGAUUCUCGAUGAGGACGUCUUUCCUGCUUACAGGGCACGGGUCGUUCAAUGCAUUUUUGCACGGGAGAGCCCUCAGCGAUACCACUGCUUGCGCAUGUGGAGAUCCAUAUGAGGACUGGAUGCACAUUUUGUGCGCUUGCCCCCAAUGUGCAGAUCUGCGGGCCCUAGAUGGACUUGGGAUGCAGCGCCUUGGCGAAAACUGGAUCUUCGAGAGAAUCCUGGAUGAUCAAGAGAAGACUCAACGGCUAGCAAUGUUCGCGGAGGAAGUGUUCCUAAGGAGGAGGGGCGUCAGUAGAGAUUUUAGGUAGAUCUCGCUCCUCAGCAAGGGGGAGUGCUUGCCCGGCAAGCAAGUACUCGAAUUGCCACCGGGGUGGUCGCUAUGUACAUAGCUAUAGAUUCUAGUCCGGGACGCUUGUCUGGCGUAUCCAGACACAUGCACCAUAUGCUCACUUGUGGAUGUAUAGGGUGCCGUGGUUGUUAUCCCUUCAGUGUGGAACAGGCCACGUAAAACAAGUUCGGAGGGAUCCGAAAAGCAUACAUUGUCCCUAUCUACUAUCUAGCGAAACCACAGCCAAGGGAACGGGCUUGGAAUAAUUAGCGGGGAAAGAAGACCCUUUUGAGCUUGACUCUAAUCUGGCAGUGUAAGGAGACAUAAGAGGUGUAGAAUAAGUGGGAGAUAUUAGACCUCGGUUUGGUAUCGUCAAUGAAAUACCACUACUCUUAUUGUUUCCUUACUUACUUGAUUAAGUGGAACGCGUAUCAUUUCCUAGCCAUUAUACGGAUAUAUUUAUUAUAUCUUAUGGUAUUGGGUUUUGAUGCAAGCUCUUGGUCAAUGUAUUACGAGUUAUAUAAUCGGAAACAAAUUCUUUAAUAAAACGAUGCAUUUAUGUAUUUUUGAUUUGAAAAUUUGGUAUAACUCCAAUUACUCAGGUAUGAUCCAAUUCAAGGACAUUGCCAGGUAGGGAGUUUGACUGGGGCGGUACAUCUCUCAAAUAAUAACGGAGGUGUCCCAAGGCCAGCUCAGUGCGGACAGAAACCACACAUAGAGCAAAAGGGCAAAUGCUGACUUGAUCUCGGUGUUCAGUACACACAGGGACAGCAAAAGCUCGGCCUAUCGAUCCUUUUGGUUUAAAGAGUUUUUAACAAGAGGUGUCAGAAAAGUUACCAUAGGGAUAACUGGCUUGUGGCGGCCAAGCGUUCAUAGCGACGUCGCUUUUUGAUCCUUCGAUGUCGGCUCUUCCUAUCCAUGUGGAGCAAAAUUCACCAAGCGUUGGAUGUUCACCCAGGGAACGUGAGCUAGGUUUAGACCGUCGUGAGACAGAUUAGUUUUACCCUACUAAUGACAAAACCUUGUUGCGACAGUAUUCCUGCGUAGUACGAGAGGAACCGCAGGUACGAACCAAUGGCACAAUACUUGUUCGAGCGAACAGUGGUAUGACGCUACGUCCGUUGGAUUAUGCCUGAACGCCUCUAAGGUCGUCUCCGUCCUGGACUGCAAUGAUAAAUAAGGGGCAAUUUGCAUUGUAUGCCUUCUAAACCAUUUAAAGUUUAUAAUUUACUUUAUAAACGACAAUGGAUGUGAUGCCAAUGUAAUUUGUAACAUAGUAAAUUGGGAGGAUCUUCGAUCACCUGAUGCCGCGCUAGUUACAUAUAAAAGCAUUAUUU
RNAcentral lists this ribosomal RNA (3093 nucleotides) under Drosophila melanogaster (fruit fly). RNAcentral's name for it is "eukaryotic LSU rRNA". The stretch from base 1934 to 3093 matches the Rfam family "Eukaryotic large subunit ribosomal RNA", at positions 1891 to 3320 of the family's 3401-position model. The record is from RNAcentral. Lineage: Eukaryota; Metazoa; Arthropoda; Insecta; Diptera; Drosophilidae.